GCCGCCAUAUCAGACCUCAAACAUUUCGUUCUAUCAACCAACAGUAAUCCGUAUGAAUACAAGAUCCAGCAUAACUUUACUAUAAAACAGUCAUCGUUAAUACUGCAGUAUUGCAAGGUGUAAUAACAAAUAUAUAAUCAUAAACCAAUAAUUCUUUCUACGCUAAAACAGAAACAUAACGACAAGGAAAUAUACCCACACACUACCUAAAAUUACUUUCUUCACUAUUUUGUUGUAACAAUUUCUGUUGCUGGGUUCUUUCGGGUUAUUAGGUUUGUGUUGACCAUACGUAAUAGUCAUGUCGUUAAGCCUACAAGAGCGCGUUGAAAUUAUCCUGUUGUGUGGACGUCAAGGAUGGACACAGAGAGAAAAAGCUGCUGAGUUCAAUAACAAACAACCGGAAUGAAAUCCAAUAUCUCAAUCAUGCUGUAUCGUUUACACACAUGUUUUGAACUUGGCGGUGUCCAUUUCGAACAGAUAUUGUAACUAUGUCUUUAAAUAAAACUUGUUUACAUUAA
Limulus polyphemus (Atlantic horseshoe crab) is the source of this 518-nucleotide long non-coding RNA. RefSeq lists it as uncharacterized. The record is from RefSeq and is a predicted model, not a curated record. Lineage: Eukaryota; Metazoa; Arthropoda; Merostomata; Xiphosura; Limulidae. The transcript is spliced from 2 exons.